This 492-nucleotide ribosomal RNA is filed under the name uncultured bacterium. RNAcentral's name for it is "partial 16S ribosomal RNA". It matches the Rfam family "Bacterial small subunit ribosomal RNA", at positions 30 to 507 of the family's 1533-position model. The record is from RNAcentral.
AUUGAACGCUGGCGGCAUGCUUUACACAUGCAAGUCGAACGGUAACAGGCCUUCGGGUGCUGACGAGUGGCGAACGGGUGAGUAAUGCAUCGGAACGUGCCCAGAGGUGGGGGAUAACGCAGCGAAAGCUGUGCUAAUACCGCAUGUGAUCUGAGGAUGAAAGCGGGGGACCAAGCAGCAAUGUUUGGCCUCACGCCUCUGGAGCGGCCGAUGUCAGAUUAGGUAGUUGGUGGGGUAAAGGCCUACCAAGCCGACGAUCUGUAGCUGGUCUGAGAGGACGACCAGCCACACUGGGACUGAGACACGGCCCAGACUCCUACGGGAGGCAGCAGUGGGGAAUUUUGGACAAUGGGCGCAAGCCUGAUCCAGCAAUGCCGCGUGCGGGAAGAAGGCCUUCGGGUUGUAAACCGCUUUUGUACGGAACGAAAAGGCUCUGGCUAAUACCUGGGGCUGAUGACGGUACCGUAAGAAUAAGCACCGGCUAACUACGUG